Cebus imitator (Panamanian white-faced capuchin) is the source of this 3329-nucleotide long non-coding RNA. RefSeq lists it as uncharacterized. The transcript is spliced from 5 exons. The record is from RefSeq and is a predicted model, not a curated record. NCBI's taxonomy places the organism in Eukaryota, Metazoa, Chordata, Mammalia, Primates, Cebidae.
CAGGUAUUAUUUUAACAAUAUUAAUUCUUUAAAUUCAUGCAAAAGACACAUGAAACACUGAAGAAGGAUGAGAAGUUGGAAGGAGAACUAGUAAACCUUGAAAGUUACAUGGAAAUGAAUAUGUUAGAACAUAGUCCAUUGAAACGCUGUAAACAGGAGGAUGAAGAAAGAGCAAGUCAGAAGAUAGCAGAACAAUUAGAAAAAAAUCAAUCAAUUUAUACAGACACAGAAAAUAUCUCAAGAAAAGUUACAGAGGUUAAGAGAGGAAAACAGUGCUUCCAUGAAAAAUCAGAUGGAACUUGUAAUUAAAGCUCUGAAACUUGAAAUCUAUAAGGCAAAAACUUCACAAGCAGACUACAGUACAACAGAAUUGGAAAAAUAUAAGGAACUGUAUCUAGAACAAUUAAAACUGAGAGAAUCUAUAUCAGAUGAACAAGGAAAACGUGAAAAAAUUCUAGCAGAUGUCAGUACCAGACUUCAAGAAAAAGAGCAGAGCAAAUCUUUAUUUACUUCUCAUACUGCAAGGCCAGCCCUGGAGUUAGCAUGCAAUGGAAAUCUUAAUGAAAAUUUAGGUCUGAACAGAAUACAUGUUCCAAGAGAAACCUUAAGGAUUUCUACCUCAAGCUUACUGUCCUCAGAUAACAGAAUGGAUAACGACUUGCCAAAGGAGACAAGAACUGAGGACACUUUCUGGAACUCCGGGCUUGGCAACGUCUCUUAGUGCCGUGACUCGCAUCCUGUCAUGAGCAGUUAUGAUGCUGGGGAUCACCAUGUGGCUUCACUACUCCAAGAUAAAGCUGUAUUACUCAUCUCUGGCAGAGGAAGUUGUAAAGGUCCCAUGAGACACCUGCACCAUUGAGCCGCUCCAGGGUCUCAAACUCCUCUCAAGCAAAGCCAAAAGAAUAAAGAUAAGUAAAUUAGUAAUGCUUUGGCCUGUUAUACCAUGAAUCAUAAUACUCCUUGAGGUUUACUAUUAUGAACAAACACCCCCUCCGGGAAAAGGUCUGUUCUUACCUACCUGGAUUUAAACCUCAAAGCCAUAAUCUAGGUGGUGUUCUCUCUAAUACUCACUGAGUUAUCAGCUUCUUUUUCCAUAAUCAACAGACCUCUUGAUUUGACUCUAAUCUGUUCUCUUUGGGAGCAUGCAGCCAAAUGCUCUAUACUCACUAAUGCUUUUAGCUAAAAUCACCCUCAUAGGCCCCAACAACCCACAACCAUGUCAAAAAACUCUACAAGCAGCUCAACAACUACUAAAGCUCACCAAAUCUUCCUGUGCCUCAUUAUUGGCUAUGCAUGAAUUCUCUCCAUCCAGUGUAGGAAUAACCUACCCAGCCAUGAUACCAGAAUAGACAACUAUUCAAGCCCAAUUUAGCUUCACCUAUCACUGGACACUCUCUUUACCAAACCUUCUCAGAGAUGCAUACAGUACCUAACAAAGUGAAGGGACUUUCAGGCUCUUCUUAAGAACAGUUACGCUUUUAGGCCCCUUGUUUUCCCCCAUCACCCUCAUCAGCCAGGUACCCCUAGGCAUCACUACUACCAGAGAUUCUGGAACUUGUGUGUGGGUUCUCUCAACACUGCACACUGUAACACAAACAUCACCAUUGUUAAUACCGCUCAUACUUUUUUUUUUUUAGAAACUAAAAUCUCCGAAUACCAAGUAAGGUUCUCUACCUGACCAAGCUGGUAGCGGUCAUGCAAAAAGUUUCAAAUCUUUAACUCCCUUUGGAGGCUCUUCUCCUUGACAUUAAUAGACACAUGCUCUCCUGGGAAAAUAAGAACCAUACUCCUAUUCAAACUAGUCACUCAUGUCUGGCUCCCCUAGCAGCUGUAACUUUCGUGACAGAAUAUCACGUCUUGGGUAGCCAACAAGGGUACUGGUAAAGUUUAGAAUUGACCUUGCCUCCUUCCAUAUUCAUUCUUGUCUAUCCAUGACAGAACUGUGUUUUCUAUGUGGGACACAGGCCCACCUCUGUCUCCCUGCAAACAGGACCAGAACAUGCACUCUGGCUUACCUCACUGCUGGCAUCUCCAUAGCCCCGGGCGAUGCUUCUCUGCCCUUGCUCUUAUUUAUAACCUCACACUGGACCCACUAAGCAAUUCCACUAAUUCCCUUUCUCAUUGGGCUUGGCAUCACUACAGGUGCCACGAUGGGAAUAGCUGGCAUUGGCACUUACUCCUGAACCUACCACAGCCUAUCUCAGGAAUUGGCUCAAGAGAUAGAAACCACUGCUUGAGCUAUAACAGAGUUACAGUGGCAAGUCAGUUAUCUCGCAGCUAUAGUUCUCAAACACAGUAAAGGUCUUGACAUGCUGGCUGCCGAUCAGGGAGGAACUUGUCAAUGCUUAGAGAAGAGUGCUGAUCUGGGCUAAGACAUCAGGACAGGCUCAGGAGCACAUUAGAGAUCUCAUAAACCAGGCUUCUCACCUUUGGGAAAUGACUACUGAGGGUUGGCUCUCCUGGAGUGUCAUCUGGUUCUGAUUCUUAUGGCUCCUCCCUUUCCUGGGACCCCUGACAUCUAUCUUCCUUCUUCUCCUUUCUGGGCCUUGCUUCUUGAAUCUACUAAGUUUAUUUCAUCCCAUCUAGAAGCUGUCAGACUUCAGAUGGUCUUGUGACAAGGAUUUCAACCUCCUUCCUACCCUUGAAGACAACCAAGUUUCUGUAUGUCUCCUCUGGACACUGUGUGUGAAACCUUCUGAGAGACAGCAACAACCUCUGAAGCCUUCUCACCACGACAGCAAGCAAGGGGAGGGACCUAGAAGACACUCGACGCCCCUUUUCAGCAGGAAGUAGCUACAGAAGAAUGACCUCCACCCCAUUUCCCAAAAGAUUUCUGAGUCCCAGCCCCUUAAGGAAUAAAUGUAAGAGUAGGCAGUUUGUCAGGCAUUAGCAGGCAGGAGGGGAAGUGCCCAUGUUGGAAGGAACUGCCCAGAACACCUCUUAAGAUGCUCAGUACUCACUCUAUGAUCAAACUAUCAAAAUAUGGUUAACUAGAUCCUGAUAAGGGAGAAAAAAAGGCAAAAGCAGAAUUCUUGAGAGCCACGCAGGUGCAAUGAAUAAAAUUUGAUGGCUGUAUGACCUUCCUGGGUGGCAGUAAUGAGCAGUGUCCCAGUUGGGUGGAUUUGUAUUGAUCACUAUGUCCAGUGCAUGUGCUUUAACUACAAUAAGGGAGGAUCCCCCAAGCCUUGUUGAGAACUGGACAAGGAAGGAAACCAGACCAUAGAAGAUCAAAUGUGGAAUGUCCCAGCAAGGUUUCCAGCAGGAUCAACCCACUCCUGUCUUGAAAUGUACUUUUACUUCCCCAGUAAAACUUUUACCUGCUUUACUAA